UACAGAGGUCUCGAGCGUUAGGCGGAAUCACUGGGCUUAAAGCGUGUGUAGGUGGAUGCCUAAGUACCUUGUGAAAUCCCACGGCUCAACCGUGGAACUGCUUGGUAUACUGCUUUUCUUGAGCCACUUAGGGGCUGUCGGAACAAACGGUGGAGCGGUGAAAUGCGUAGAUAUCGUUUGGAACGCCAAAGGUGAAAACAGACAGCUGGGAGUGUGCUGACGCUGAGACACGAAAGCCAGGGGAGCGAACGGG
This 253-nucleotide ribosomal RNA is filed under the name uncultured bacterium. RNAcentral's name for it is "partial 16S ribosomal RNA". It matches the Rfam family "Bacterial small subunit ribosomal RNA", at positions 524 to 776 of the family's 1533-position model. The record is from RNAcentral.